UUUGAGAGUUUGAUCCUGGCUCAGAUUGAACGCUGGCGGCAGGCCUAACACAUGCAAGUCGAGCGGUAGCACAGAGAGCUUGCUCUCGGGUGACGAGCGGCGGACGGGUGAGUAAUGUCUGGGAAACUGCCUGAUGGAGGGGGAUAACUACUGGAAACGGUAGCUAAUACCGCAUAACGUCGCAAGACCAAAGAGGGGGACCUUCGGGCCUCUUGCCAUCAGAUGUGCCCAGAUGGGAUUAGCUAGUAGGUGGGGUAAUGGCUCACCUAGGCGACGAUCCCUAGCUGGUCUGAGAGGAUGACCAGCCACACUGGAACUGAGACACGGUCCAGACUCCUACGGGAGGCAGCAGUGGGGAAUAUUGCACAAUGGGCGCAAGCCUGAUGCAGCCAUGCCGCGUGUAUGAAGAAGGCCUUCGGGUUGUAAAGUACUUUCAGCGAGGAGGAAGGCAUUGUGGUUAAUAACCACAGUGAUUGACGUUACUCGCAGAGAGCCCGG
Molecule: ribosomal RNA, 498 nt
Filed under: Enterobacter sp. SY-EN560
Lineage: Bacteria; Pseudomonadati; Pseudomonadota; Gammaproteobacteria; Enterobacterales; Enterobacteriaceae
Description: bacterial SSU rRNA
Rfam family: Bacterial small subunit ribosomal RNA
Source: RNAcentral